UGGCUCAGUGGUAGAGUGCUUGCCUUGCAUGCCAGAGGCCCUGAGUUCGAUUCCUCAG
Molecule: transfer RNA, 58 nt
Filed under: Dipodomys ordii (Ord's kangaroo rat)
Lineage: Eukaryota; Metazoa; Chordata; Mammalia; Rodentia; Heteromyidae
Rfam family: tRNA
About the family: Transfer RNA (tRNA) molecules are approximately 80 nucleotides in length. Their secondary structure includes four short double-helical elements and three loops (D, anti-codon, and T loops).
Source: Rfam by way of RNAcentral